UUUUCGGAAACACAUAGGUGUCUGUGUUUGGCACCGAUCAUUAUAUUUUUAUGGAUAGGUAAUUUUAUGGAGGUAAGUUUGAGCAAGCCUGUUUCUACCAGCUCAUGAAUUAUAUUAUCAACACCACUUCUUUACCGAGUAUCCUCAUCUUGUGCGUCACUGCUCUUGGAAAUUCCGUUCAAUUCUUUCUACACUUUCUCGCCUUCUACUGUUUUAGUAGUCUUGUUUUUCAUUCUAUCAUUUGUUGUCAUGAUUAUAAUUUUAAUUUCUUUUCAUGUUACUUGUAUUGCUCUGUAAGUUUUGUUAAAAUUUUAAAAAUGAUAAUACAAUC
Molecule: long non-coding RNA, 331 nt
Filed under: Brassica napus (rape)
Lineage: Eukaryota; Viridiplantae; Streptophyta; Magnoliopsida; Brassicales; Brassicaceae
Description: long non-coding RNA (BNAP_LNC022638)
Source: RNAcentral